This 899-nucleotide ribosomal RNA is filed under the name Klebsiella pneumoniae. RNAcentral's name for it is "bacterial SSU rRNA". It matches the Rfam family "Bacterial small subunit ribosomal RNA", at positions 38 to 928 of the family's 1533-position model. The record is from RNAcentral. Lineage: Bacteria; Pseudomonadati; Pseudomonadota; Gammaproteobacteria; Enterobacterales; Enterobacteriaceae.
GGCAGUGGCGCGCUACCAUGCAAGUCGAGCGGUAGCACAGAGAGCUUGCUCUCGGGUGACGAGCGGCGGACGGGUGAGUAAUGUCUGGGAAACUGCCUGAUGGAGGGGGAUAACUACUGGAAACGGUAGCUAAUACCGCAUAAUGUCGCAAGACCAAAGUGGGGGACCUUCGGGCCUCAUGCCAUCAGAUGUGCCCAGAUGGGAUUAGCUAGUAGGUGGGGUAACGGCUCACCUAGGCGACGAUCCCUAGCUGGUCUGAGAGGAUGACCAGCCACACUGGAACUGAGACACGGUCCAGACUCCUACGGGAGGCAGCAGUGGGGAAUAUUGCACAAUGGGCGCAAGCCUGAUGCAGCCAUGCCGCGUGUGUGAAGAAGGCCUUCGGGUUGUAAAGCACUUUCAGCGGGGAGGAAGGCGUUAAGGUUAAUAACCUUGGCGAUUGACGUUACCCGCAGAAGAAGCACCGGCUAACUCCGUGCCAGCAGCCGCGGUAAUACGGAGGGUGCAAGCGUUAAUCGGAAUUACUGGGCGUAAAGCGCACGCAGGCGGUCUGUCAAGUCGGAUGUGAAAUCCCCGGGCUCAACCUGGGAACUGCAUUCGAAACUGGCAGGCUAGAGUCUUGUAGAGGGGGGUAGAAUUCCAGGUGUAGCGGUGAAAUGCGUAGAGAUCUGGAGGAAUACCGGUGGCGAAGGCGGCCCCCUGGACAAAGACUGACGCUCAGGUGCGAAAGCGUGGGGAGCAAACAGGAUUAGAUACCCUGGUAGUCCACGCCGUAAACGAUGUCGAUUUGGAGGUUGUGCCCUUGAGGCGUGGCUUCCGGAGCUAACGCGUUAAAUCGACCGCCUGGGGAGUACGGCCGCAAGGUUAAAACUCAAAUGAAUUGACGGGGGCCCGCACAA